This 421-nucleotide ribosomal RNA is filed under the name uncultured bacterium. RNAcentral's name for it is "partial 16S ribosomal RNA". It matches the Rfam family "Bacterial small subunit ribosomal RNA", at positions 360 to 773 of the family's 1533-position model. The record is from RNAcentral.
AAUAUGGGACAAUGGGGGUAACCCUGAUCCAGCCAGGCCGCGUGUGUGAAGAAGGUACUCGGUAUGUAAAGCACUUUAAUUUGGGAGGAAGGGCUUUAGGUUAAUACCCUGAAGUUUUGACGUUACCAACAGAAUAAGCACCUGCUAACUCGGUGCAAUCAGCCGCGGUAAUACAGAGGGUGGAAGCGUUAAUCGGAAUUACGGGGCGUAAAGCGCGCGUUGGUGGUUCAGUAAGAUGGAUGUGAAAUCCCCGGGCUUAACCUGGGAACUGCUUUCAUAACUGCUGAGCUAGAGUACGGUAGAGGGUAGUGGAAUUUCCUGUGUAGCGGUGAAAUGCGUAGCUAUAGGAAGGAACACCAGUGGCGAAGGCGACUACCUGGACUGAUACUGACACUGAGGUGCGAAAGCGUGGGGAGCAAAC